GUAACCUAAACCCCCCCAAAAUACCAUUAAUUUUCAUGAACCCCUAAUUUAUAAUGAAUGACUCCAUAUUUAUAUGGAAGACACCAUGCUAGGAUUAGUAACAAGAAUUUAUAAUUCUCCAAAAUGCAAAUAUAAACCAACAUGGAUAGACCAUUGGUAGUUACCGAACCUAAAUUUACUGCAAUAACACCCACAAGAAAACUCUGCAGUACUUACUCGUUAACCUAACACCAGCGCAUUACAGGAAAGAUUAAAAAAAAGAGAAGGAAUUCGGCAAAUGACGGCCCCGCCUGUUUACCAAAAACAUCGCCUCUUGACUUAUAAUAAGAGGUCCAGCCUGCCCAGUGAAUUUUAAACGGCCGCGGUAUCCUAACCGCGCGAAGGUAGCAUAAUCACUUGUUCUUUAAAUGGGGACUCGUAUCAACGGCAUCACGAGGGUUUUACUGUCUCCUCUUUUUGAUCAGUGAAAUUGAUCUUCCCGUGAAGAAGCGGGGAUAUUUUUAUAAGACGAGAAGACCCCAUGGAGCUUUAAACCAAAUAACAACUUAACUACUUAUCCCACAAUAAAUUUAAGCCCUGUUAUAAGGUUUUUGGUUGGGGUGACCGCGGAGUAAAGCACAUCCUCCACGACGGAAAGAACAUAAUCUUUAUUUAAGAACCACACUUCUAGAAAUUAGUAUACUAACGUUUACUGACCCGACAAUCGAUCAACGGACCAAGUUACCCUGGGGAUAACAGCGCAAUCUACUUCAAGAGCUCAUAUCGACAAGUAGGCUUACGACCUCGAUGUUGGAUCAGGGUAUCCCGGUGGUGCAGCCGCUACCGAAGGUUCG
This 833-nucleotide ribosomal RNA is filed under the name Polypedates leucomystax (Java whipping frog). Its description in RNAcentral is "partial 16S ribosomal RNA". It matches the Rfam family "Bacterial large subunit ribosomal RNA", at positions 1213 to 2575 of the family's 2925-position model. Lineage: Eukaryota; Metazoa; Chordata; Amphibia; Anura; Rhacophoridae. The record is from RNAcentral.